Molecule: long non-coding RNA, 1170 nt
Filed under: Sus scrofa (pig)
Lineage: Eukaryota; Metazoa; Chordata; Mammalia; Artiodactyla; Suidae
Description: lncRNA (ENSSSCG00070015206.1)
Source: RNAcentral
AUGGGACAAGACGGGACAAGGGGGUGCGUGGCUGUCCCUUCCCCACACCCCUCGGCCGACCCCAGAGCCACGAGGCCCGCGCCACCAGCGGCUCCCGCAGGCGAGGGAAGGCCCGGGGCCGGCGGCUCCCGCUCCUCCCGCAGCGACAGCAGCCGCCAGGGCUCUGGGCUCGAGGUGCAGGCCUUACCCCUCUCUGACCUCCACCUCCCUGGCCCCGGCGCAGAGGCUGUUCCCGGCCUCUGUCGCCGAACUCUUAACAUCCUAAUUCUGGAAGCUGCUGACGUCCAGCCUUGCAUGAUUCUGAAUUUCCAUAUCCGUGUCCAGACCCACUUUUGUUUCUCGCCUGCAAACGGGGUAUCUUUCCCAAUCUUACUCCUCCUUGUUCUGCUCUUCCCACAGCACAGCCACGGCCCCCAGCGCACACACGGGACACACCCCCACGGGACACACGCACACACCCCCACAGGACACACGCACACAGGUCACACCCACGGGACACACCCCAAGGGACACACCCCCACACACCCACAGGACACACGCACACAGGUCACACCCACGGGACACACCCCCACGGGACACACACCCACACAGGUUCUGUUUUCCACUUUCUGCCGUGGCCGUCAGCUCGGUUCCCUCGCAGUCCACCUGCCACGUGGCCAUGGAUUUUCACCAAGCGCUGUCCCAGCAUCGAGGAUCACUUUGUCCCCACCUCUGCCCUCCGCUCGACGGCCAGCAGCCUGUCUGCUCAGCCGGCGCCACAUCAUUUUAGGUCUGGGGCUUAUUUGUUCCCACCGCAUCAUCUGGUCCCUCCCGACAAUGACAGAAAAGGCCCGUGGAAGCAGGUGCUGCCACAACAAAACACCCAAGUCAACAAAUACCCACAAAAGUCACCAUGAGGCCGGGCGCUACGCUGUGCGGCAUCAGGGGGGCUCAGCUUGCCUGGGCUCGGCGGGGCUCGCUGCCGUGUCAGGGUGUCGGCCGCUGUCUGUCCACCUUGGCCAGCUCCCCCGCACGGCUGUCUCACUCGCCAGAAGGGUGGCCUGGCUUGGGAAUGACAGGAACAAAAGUGAGUCCCAUGACCGAGACCAGGGGCGAGGGGAAAGCUCCCCAGCCGCCGAGGGAGGGCCCUGCAAGGUCCCACUGCAGGAGCGCGGGCACAGGGAAGGGUGA